RNAcentral lists this ribosomal RNA (213 nucleotides) under Clostridioides difficile. RNAcentral's name for it is "partial 23S ribosomal RNA". It matches the Rfam family "Bacterial large subunit ribosomal RNA", at positions 1252 to 1465 of the family's 2925-position model. The record is from RNAcentral. Lineage: Bacteria; Bacillati; Bacillota; Clostridia; Peptostreptococcales; Peptostreptococcaceae.
GAAGCAUGACCGUAAGGACAUGUGGACAGUAUGGGAGUGAGAAUGUUGGCAUGAGUAGCGAGAUGUGGGUGAGAAUCCCACAGGCCGUAAACCCAAGGUUUCCAGGGGAAGGUUCGUCCGCCCUGGGCUAGUCGGGACCUAAGCUGAGGCCGAAAGGCGUAGGUGAUGGACAACAGGUUGAUAUUCCUGUACUACCGAUAACCGUUUGAGAGA